RNAcentral lists this ribosomal RNA (253 nucleotides) under uncultured bacterium. RNAcentral's name for it is "partial 16S ribosomal RNA". It matches the Rfam family "Bacterial small subunit ribosomal RNA", at positions 524 to 776 of the family's 1533-position model. The record is from RNAcentral.
GACAGAGGGUGCAAGCGUUGUUCGGAAUUAUUGGGCGUAAAGCGCGCGUAGGCGGCCAGGUCAGUCGACUGUGGAAUCCCGUGGCUUAACCAUGGAAGUGCAUUCGAAACUACCCGGCUCGAGGGUCGGAGAGGGUGGUGGAAUUCCCAGUGUAGAGGUGAAAUUCGUAGAUAUUCGCAAGAACACCAGUGGCGAAGGCGGCUCACUGGCCCGGUACUGACGCUGAGGUGCGAAAGCGUGGGGAGCAAACAGG